This 429-nucleotide ribosomal RNA is filed under the name Chloroflexota bacterium. Its description in RNAcentral is "Chloroflexi bacterium partial 16S ribosomal RNA". It matches the Rfam family "Bacterial small subunit ribosomal RNA", at positions 355 to 776 of the family's 1533-position model. Lineage: Bacteria; Bacillati; Chloroflexota. The record is from RNAcentral.
UGGGGAAUAUUGCACAAUGGGCGCAAGCCUGAUGCAGCCAUGCCGCGGGUAUGAAGAAGGCCUUCGGGUUGUAAAGCACUUUCAGCGGGGAGGAAGGCGUUAAGGUUAAUAACCUUGGCGAUUGACGUUACCCGCAGAAGAAGCACCGGCUAACGCCGUGCCAGCAGCCGCGGUAAUACGGAGGGUGCAAGCGUUAAUCGGAAUUACUGGGCGUAAAGCGCACGCAGGCGGUCUGUCAAGUCGGAUGUGAAAUCCCCGGGCUCAACCUGGGAACUGCAUUCGAAACUGGCAGGCUAGAGUCUUGUAGAGGGGGGUAGAAUUCCAGGUGUAGCGGUGAAAUGCGUAGAGAUCUGGAGGAAUACCGGUGGCGAAGGCGGCCCCCUGGACAAAGACUGACGCUCAGGUGCGAAAGCGUGGGGAGCAAACAGG